RNAcentral lists this transfer RNA (69 nucleotides) under Marmota monax (woodchuck). RNAcentral's name for it is "tRNA.Ala". The record is from RNAcentral. Lineage: Eukaryota; Metazoa; Chordata; Mammalia; Rodentia; Sciuridae.
GGGGCUGAAGCUAAGUGGCAGAGUGCUUGCCUAGCAUGCAUGAGGCAUUGGGUUCGACCCUCAGCAUCA